UCCCCCUUGGAUGUCCAUAGAUAAUAUGCCUCGUUAAAACCUUACUAGGAAAAAACCCCGUGGGAAAAAAUCCUAGUGAAGGAAAAAGAGUACACAUAUCUUUUAAUACGCUUUGAAUGUUGCCUCGUUAAAAACCUUACCAGGAAAACCCAAUUGGGAUAAAACCAUGGUUAAGGAAAAGAGUACAAUGCGUAGUUUUCUCCCCCUGAUAAAAACUUUACUUGAUAUCUCGGAGACGAUGCAUUCCAAUC
RNAcentral lists this long non-coding RNA (251 nucleotides) under Solanum tuberosum (potato). RNAcentral describes it as "long non-coding RNA (STUB_LNC011490)". Lineage: Eukaryota; Viridiplantae; Streptophyta; Magnoliopsida; Solanales; Solanaceae. The record is from RNAcentral.